AAUUAAAAGUUUCAUCCUUUUCUACUCUUAAAAAAUAGCAUCGCUAACAGAAUAAUUAGUUAGGCGUGCCAUGUCUACCUCAUUCUAAUAUACAGGGACCAGUUUUUGAUAGUAGAAAUUGAUGAAAUUUUUAACA
Gossypium arboreum is the source of this 136-nucleotide non-coding RNA. The record is from Rfam. Lineage: Eukaryota; Viridiplantae; Streptophyta; Magnoliopsida; Malvales; Malvaceae.